RNAcentral lists this ribosomal RNA (447 nucleotides) under uncultured bacterium. Its description in RNAcentral is "bacterial SSU rRNA". It matches the Rfam family "Bacterial small subunit ribosomal RNA", at positions 329 to 793 of the family's 1533-position model. The record is from RNAcentral.
UACCAGACUCCUACGGGAGGCAGCAGUGGGGAAUAUUGCACAAUGGGGGAAACCCUGAUGCAGCGACGCCGCGUGAGCGAUGAAGUAUUUCGGUAUGUAAAGCUCUAUCAGCAGGGAAGAAAAUGACGGUACCUGACUAAGAAGCCCCGGCUAACUACGUGCCAGCAGCCGCGGUAAUACGUAGGGGGCAAGCGUUAUCCGGAUUUACUGGGUGUAAAGGGAGCGUAGACGGUCCUGCAAGCCAGAUGUGAAAGCCCGGGGCUCAACCCCGGGACUGCAUUUGGAACUGUAAGGCUAGAGUGUCGGAGAGGCAGGCGGAAUUCCUAGUGUAGCGGUGAAAUGCGUAGAUAUUAGGAGGAACACCAGUGGCGAAGGCGGCUUACUGGACGGCAACUGACGCUGAGGCUCGAAAGCGUGGGGAGCAAACAGGAUUAGAUACCCCAGUAG